UACGUAGGGUGCGAGCGUUAAUCGGAAUUACUGGGCGUAAAGCGUGCGUAGACGGUUAUGUAAGUCAGAUGUGAAAGCCCCGGGCUUAACCUGGGAAUGGCAUUUGAGACUGCAUAGCUAGGGUGCGGAAGAGGGAAGCGGAAUUUCCGGUGUAGCGGUGAAACUGCGUAGAUAUCGGAAGGAACACCAGUGGCGAAAGCGGCUUCCUGGUCCAGCACCGACGUCAGGCACGAAGCGUGGGGAGCAAACAGGA
Molecule: ribosomal RNA, 253 nt
Filed under: uncultured bacterium
Lineage: Bacteria
Description: partial 16S ribosomal RNA
Rfam family: Bacterial small subunit ribosomal RNA
Source: RNAcentral